Molecule: long non-coding RNA, 750 nt
Filed under: Chloebia gouldiae (Gouldian finch)
Lineage: Eukaryota; Metazoa; Chordata; Aves; Passeriformes; Passeridae
Description: Erythrura gouldiae (Gouldian finch) lncRNA (ENSEGOG00005018295.1)
Source: RNAcentral
CCCACCCCCCUCCGUUCCCGUUCGUUCCCCCCGGUUCGUUCCCCCGCUCCCCCCCGCCCCCCGCCGCCCAUCCCGGCGCUCACCUGCGCGGCCCCGGCGGCCGCGGGGCUCCCGAAGGAGUCGAGCGGCGACAGGUACUGGGACUCGGCCGAGGGCGACGAGCUGCAGCGCGACCCCGAGUCGUAGUCCCCGGGGAAGCCCUGGAACAUGGCCCCGGGGCCGCGGGGGCCGCCCCGCCGCGACAAGGCUGCGGGUCACGCCGCCGCCACCGGCAUCACGGGCCGGGCGGGAUGCUCCGCUGUGCGGGAAGGCGCGGGGCGAAACGCGGAGGGGGCCGCUGGAGGGUCUGCGAGCCGCCGGUGUGUCCGCGCAGGGCUCCGGUGUAACGUCCCGGUGAGCGGCUACGAGCUCCGGUAUAUCCGUGCCGGGCUCCGGCGCGGCUCUGCGAGUCUCGCCUGGCCGGUAGCGAACGCCGCUGUGCCCGUCCCGAGCUCCGGUUGUGCGCUGUAAGCUCCGGCUCCGGCACGUCCGCUACGAGCCCCGGUGGCGCUCCCGCCGCUCCCCCGGUCUCCGGUUUUAUGAAUGAACUGCUCGCGGCAGCCCCGCCGCUUUAUACGGCGGGGCCCCGCCCCCUUACGCUGACGUCACGGCAGCCGCCGCCGCUUCUCCGGGACCACCGGGAGCCCCCCGAGCCCUCCCGGAGCUCGAAACCGCCGUGGCCGCGGUCGCCGUCGCCGUUGGAGGCUCCGG